AUAUAUAUAGUGACUAAUAUGAACAAUCACGGCAAGGCUCAAACAUGGCUCACUAGGGGUUAGUGUAUGGGUAGGAAUUCAAAAGCAGGCCAAAUGGCUACCCUAGUGCCUCUUAUCAUUCACCACAUAUGACACACUUAAUAUCACGACUUCAUGGAUCAUCAAAUCUCUCAAAACAACAAAAUAGUAGAGAGUGCUCUACUCUAUUAGGCUCAAUACCUCACUUAUGUGUAGUUUAGAUUCACUCAUCGCCCUUAUUUUGUCAUUCCAGACAUCAUUUAAUAAAAACACACACUGUCAAUCACAAGUUCUCAAUUCUUAAGUAGAAAAAGAUCAAGUUAUCACACAUAUUCAAAUCUAACAGCAUGCUCCGACAACUGAACUUAUCAAUUACUUGGCCAGAAAACUCACAAAACUCAACAUAAACUGACUCAACAAAAAUAAAGACUCAAAGACGCCCCCCUCACACUUAGAUUUUGCUUGCCCUCAAGCAAACAAAAUAAAGCAUAAGCAAGGGACAACAAGACACACAACGAAAGAGAAAGACAAAGACAUAAACGAAACAAGACAAGAGACAAAACACGAAACAAGACAAGAUAAGGAAGGAAGUCACCGUGUACGCUGCCGCCUCAUCUCCUGUCGAAUGGUGGCGCUCAAGUUCGCAAUGCUCUCCUGUAGGGCUGCCACGUUUUUUUUUUUUUUAACUGAAAC
RNAcentral lists this long non-coding RNA (711 nucleotides) under Salvia miltiorrhiza (redroot sage). RNAcentral describes it as "long non-coding RNA (SMIL_LNC002962)". The record is from RNAcentral. Lineage: Eukaryota; Viridiplantae; Streptophyta; Magnoliopsida; Lamiales; Lamiaceae.